ACCCAGAUCCUUAGACUUGCGCCCCUCAUCUCUUCUCCCCUCUCCCCCCUCUCAAAUCCUUCUCAAAUCUUGCAAAUCCGGAGUAUUUGACCAUGGAUUUCGAAGCCAACCCCUCCCUUAAGGGAUGGGAGAACAUGUGUUUAUGUUCAUCAUGUGGAUAAAGAGGCCUUUUUGAAAGGCAAUGUUGAGCCGGACCCGGAUGAGCUUGACAUGGUGUUUGAGAGUAGUCCUAGCUAUGCGGAGCUCUUGGACCAAGUGAGGAAGGAUUUGAAUUGGAUGGACCCAAGUGACGUUGUUGAGUUCGAGGGAAGGCAUAAUGUACCUUGAGGAAUGCUUGUAGUGAACCAUCAUCAUUGCCUUUUCCAACCGGUGUGUUCUCCAGAA
Aegilops tauschii subsp. strangulata is the source of this 384-nucleotide non-coding RNA. Lineage: Eukaryota; Viridiplantae; Streptophyta; Magnoliopsida; Poales; Poaceae. The record is from RefSeq and is a predicted model, not a curated record.